This 397-nucleotide ribosomal RNA is filed under the name uncultured bacterium. RNAcentral's name for it is "partial 16S ribosomal RNA". It matches the Rfam family "Bacterial small subunit ribosomal RNA", at positions 360 to 774 of the family's 1533-position model. The record is from RNAcentral.
AAUAUUGGACAAUGGGCGCAAGCCUGAUCCAGCCAUGCCGCGGUAGUGAAGACGGCCUGAGUGUAGUAACGCUCCUUCACCCGCGAAGAUGAUGACGGUAGCGGGAGAAGAAGCCCCGGCUCACUCCGUGCCAGGAGCCGCGGUAAUACGGAGGGGGCAAGCGUUGUUCGGAUUUACUGGGCGUAAAGGGCGCGUAGGCGGAUGUUCGCGUCAGAGGUGAAAGCCCCGGGCUCAACCUGGGAACUGCCUUUGAAACGGGACAUCUUGAGUUCGAAAGAGGAUAGCGGAAUUCCCAGUGUAGAGGUGAAAUUCGUAGAUAUUGGGAAGAACACCAGUAGCGAAGGCGGCUACCUGGUCCGACACUGACGCUGAGGCGCGAAAGCGUGGGGAGCAAACA